This is a non-coding RNA of Chrysemys picta bellii (western painted turtle), 617 nucleotides long. Lineage: Eukaryota; Metazoa; Chordata; Testudines; Emydidae. The record is from RefSeq and is a predicted model, not a curated record.
AACUGCAAACUCCGGGGCCUGUGUGCUGAGCUGUGUUUGGAAAUCCUAUUCAACACUGUUAUUGCCAUAGGUUAUGCUAUGCAAUGUCUGUGCCUAACCCAAGAACAUUUAGCGCCGGGGGGACCUUGAUAAAAAACAAGCCCCAAGACUUUGAUAUCUGCAAAGGGCCCCCACUUGGAAUGGGUACUGUAAGAGGCCCUACAGAAAAAUAUAUUUGAACUAAAAGAAAAAAAGAAAAGAAAAGAAAAGCAGCCCAGUUGUGCAGACAACUUAUUCCCCCAGCCCAGACCACAAAAGGGAAUGCUAGGGAGGGGUGAGCCAGUCAACCUGCUGACUAUUUUGAUACAAAGAGUUAGGAUGGUAUAAAAACCUCAGGGAGCUUGGAGCCUGUCUCUUUCAAGAGAAACGUUCUUGAAUUGCUGCUGGACUGCAAGAGGAGUGUGAUCUGUUUAGCAUGGAACCAGGAACUUUAAGCUGCAUUUCACCACCAGGCCAAGUACGGUCAAAACAUGAGAGGGUAAACAAGCUCAGAAGAAAAAGGAAAGAGACAGCUGAAAAGAAAAUGUCACCAGUAUCAGUGACUGAUGGAUGGAUGGAUGAAGCCCAGUAAAUAUAUU